Molecule: ribosomal RNA, 253 nt
Filed under: uncultured bacterium
Lineage: Bacteria
Description: partial 16S ribosomal RNA
Rfam family: Bacterial small subunit ribosomal RNA
Source: RNAcentral
UACGUAGGGUGCAAGCGUUGUCCGGAAUUAUUGGGCGUAAAGAGCUCGUAGGCGGUUUGUCGCGUCUGCUGUGAAAACCCGAGGCUCAACCUCGGGCCUGCAGUGGGUACGGGCAGACUAGAGUGCGGUAGGGGAGAUUGGAAUUCCUGGUGUAGCGGUGGAAUGCGCAGAUAUCAGGAGGAACACCUGUGGCGAAGGCGGCUUUCUGGGCCUUACCUGACGCUAAGACGCGAAAGCGUGGGGAGCAAACAGG